GCCGGGACGGCAGCUAUAAUGCAAGUCGAGGGGCAGCAUGAACUAGCAAUAGUUUGAUGGCGACCGGCAAACGGGUGCGGAACACGUACACAACCUUCCUUUAAGUGGGGAAUAGCCCAGAGAAAUUUGGAUUAAUACCCCGUAACACAACGAAGUGGCAUCACUUUGUUGUUAUAGUUUCGGCGCUUAAUGAUGGGUGUGCGUAUGAUUAGAUAGUUGGCGAGGUAACGGCUCACCAAGUCUACGAUCAUUAGCUGAUGUGAGAGCAUGAUCAGCCACACGGGCACUGAGACACGGGCCCGACUCCUACGGGAGGCAGCAGUAAGGAAUAUUGGUCAAUGGACGCAAGUCUGAACCAGCCAUGCCGCGUGAAGGAUUAAGGUCCUCUGGAUUGUAAACUUCUUUUAUAUGGGACGAAAAAAGGUCUUUCUAGACCCCUUGACGGUACCAUAUGAAUAAGCACCGGCUAACUCCGUGCCAGCAGCCGCGGUAAUACGGAGGGUGCAAGCGUUAUCCGGAUUCACUGGGUUUAAAGGGUGCGUAGGCGGGCAGGUAAGUCAGUGGUGAAAGCCUGGAGCUCAACUCCAGAACUGCCAUUGAUACUAUCUGUCUUGAAUAUUGUGGAGGUAAGCGGAAUAUGUCAUGUAGCGGUGAAAUGCUUAGAUAUGACAUAGAACACCCAUUGCGAAGGCAGCUUACUACGCAUAUAUUGACGCUGAGGCACGAAAGCGUGGGGAUCAAACAGGAUUAGAUACCCUGGUAGUCCACGCCCUAAACGAUGGAUACUCGACAUACGCGAUACACUGUGUGUGUCUGAGCGAAAGCAUUAAGUAUCCCACCUGGGAAGUACGUUCGCAAGAAUGAAACUCAAAGGAAUUGACGG
Molecule: ribosomal RNA, 883 nt
Filed under: uncultured Bacteroidota bacterium
Lineage: Bacteria; Pseudomonadati; Bacteroidota
Description: bacterial SSU rRNA
Rfam family: Bacterial small subunit ribosomal RNA
Source: RNAcentral